RNAcentral lists this ribosomal RNA (1442 nucleotides) under uncultured organism. RNAcentral's name for it is "SSU rRNA". It matches the Rfam family "Bacterial small subunit ribosomal RNA". The record is from RNAcentral.
CGCUAGCUACAGGCUUAACACAUGCAAGUCGAGGGGCAGCAUUUUAGUUUGCUUGCAAACUAAAGAUGGCGACCGGCGCACGGGUGAGUAACACGUAUCCAACCUGCCGAUAACUCGGGGAUAGCCUUUCGAAAGAAAGAUUAAUAUCCGAUAGUAUAUUAAAACCGCAUGGUUUUACUAUUAAAGAAUUUCGGUUAUCGAUGGGGAUGCGUUCCAUUAGUUUGUUGGCGGGGUAACGGCCCACCAAGACUACGAUGGAUAGGGGUUCUGAGAGGAAGGUCCCCCACAUUGGAACUGAGACGCGGUCCAAACUCCUACGGGAGGCAGCAGUGAGGAAUAUUGGUCAAUGGACGAGAGUCUGAACCAGCCAAGUAGCGUGAAGGAUGACUGCCCUAUGGGUUGUAAACUUCUUUUAUAUGGGAAUAAAGUAUUCCACGUGUGGAAUUUUGUAUGUACCAUAUGAAUAAGGAUCGGCUAACUCCGUGCCAGCAGCCGCGGUAAUACGGAGGAUCCGAGCGUUAUCCGGAUUUAUUGGGUUUAAAGGGAGCGUAGGUGGAUUGUUAAGUCAGUUGUGAAAGUUUGCGGCUCAACCGUAAAAUUGCAGUUGAAACUGGCAGUCUUGAGUACAGUAGAGGUGGGCGGAAUUCGUGGUGUAGCGGUGAAAUGCUUAGAUAUCACGAAGAACUCCGAUUGCGAAGGCAGCUCACUAGACUGCAACUGACACUGAUGCUCGAAAGUGUGGGUAUCAAACAGGAUUAGAUACCCUGGUAGUCCACACAGUAAACGAUGAAUACUCGCUGUUUGCGAUAUACAGUAAGCGGCCAAGCGAAAGCAUUAAGUAUUCCACCUGGGGAGUACGCCGGCAACGGUGAAACUCAAAGGAAUUGACGGGGGCCCGCACAAGCGGAGGAACAUGUGGUUUAAUUCGAUGAUACGCGAGGAACCUUACCCGGGCUUAAAUUGCAUUUGAAUAAUCUGGAAACAGGUUAGCCGCAAGGCAAAUGUGAAGGUGCUGCAUGGUUGUCGUCAGCUCGUGCCGUGAGGUGUCGGCUUAAGUGCCAUAACGAGCGCAACCCUUAUCUUUAGUUACUAACAGGUCAUGCUGAGGACUCUAGAGAGACUGCCGUCGUAAGAUGUGAGGAAGGUGGGGAUGACGUCAAAUCAGCACGGCCCUUACGUCCGGGGCUACACACGUGUUACAAUGGGGGGUACAGAAGGCAGCUACCUGGUGACAGGAUGCUAAUCCCAAAAACCUCUCUCAGUUCGGAUCGAAGUCUGCAACCCGACUUCGUGAAGCUGGAUUCGCUAGUAAUCGCGCAUCAGCCAUGGCGCGGUGAAUACGUUCCCGGGCCUUGUACACACCGCCCGUCAAGCCAUGAAAGCCGGGGGUACCAGAAGUACGUAACCGCAAGGAGCGUCCUAGGGUAAAACUGGUAAAUGGG